GACGAACGCUGGCGGCGUGCUUAACACAUGCAAGUCGAACGGAAAGGCCCUGCUUUUGUGGGGUGCUCGAGUGGCGAACGGGUGAGUAACACGUGAGUAACCUGCCCUUGACUUUGGGAUAACUUCAGGAAACUGGGGCUAAUACCGGAUAGGAGCUCCUGCUGCAUGGUGGGGGUUGGAAAGUUUCGGCGGUUGGGGAUAGACUCGCGGCUUAUCAGCUUGUUGGUGGGGUAGUGGCUUACCAAGGCUUUGACGGGUAGCCGGCCUGAGAGGGUGACCGGCCACAUUGGGACUGAGGUACGGCCCAGACUCCUACGGGAGGCAGCAGUGGGGAAUAUUGCACAAUGGGCGGAAGCCUGAUGCAGCAACGCCGCGUGCGGGAUGACGGCCUUCGGGUUGUAAACCGCUUUCGCCUGUGACGAAGCGUGAGUGACGGUAAUGGGUAAAGAAGCACCGGCUAACUACGUG
Molecule: ribosomal RNA, 468 nt
Filed under: uncultured bacterium
Lineage: Bacteria
Description: partial 16S ribosomal RNA
Rfam family: Bacterial small subunit ribosomal RNA
Source: RNAcentral